AGCCUCGUCGAACGCAGUUUCAAACAAAUAAAAUAAAAUUGGUCUGAGCUGCAUUUGGUGCAGGUUUGCCAGUCGUACUGUGGUGUACAUCGGGUGUCUGUCAUCGCCACCCUGUGUAACUGCACACUAAACCCUGGACCGUCCUCCAUGGCAGGAACCCCAUUUCUUUCUCGCCGACUGCGGGGCCAGUUGGAGGGCUUCCAUUUCCCUCCCUCUCUGUCUUCUUUCUAAAGCCCGGAGAGGUGGCGGACUGGAGGUCUCCCCAAACCAUUAUACGUAAAAUUUGUUGCCGGGCCUUUUGAAAGCCAGGGCUCCUUCUUAGUUCAUUUGCGAUAUGUACAACAUAUUUGGAAACACGGGCCAUUGUGAGGAGCUGAAUGCCCCGUUCUCUCCGGGUGACUUUUUUUGGAGUGGGCCUUUCUCGCCGCACAAUGGCCUGGUCUCGGCGCAUUAUGGAAAGGCAAACGUGCGAAAUGAUACAGCCCAGCACUUGCCUCGCCUCGUUCUCUGGGUUCUCCGUCCCACACAAUGGACUUCUGCUACUCCUUUUUUUCCCCCCUUUGCAGCAUUGUGGGCGAUUUCUAAAGCCGUCGGGUCUAGCCUGACUAUAGCUUUGCACACUCAUGCAAACGACGAGAGAAAAAGACUGGGGCUGUACUCCAGGCUGGCAAUGCUGGAGGGACUGCCGUGCUGGCAACAGCCACCCGACACGGAGCUGGAGGUGCCGCGGACGGAGAAUGUGAAAGAAAAAGAAAUAUCAGCUAGAGAAGGACAGAAGGAAGCAAGAAUGGACGACACAGCUAAUGAACAAUACUAAAUACUGACGAGAGGCUGCAUCAUCAGUGGAUAUGAUGACACAACUCUUCCAGAAGGACGCUGGGUCAAAGGUGAAACUCUUCAGACAUGAUCUUUUCCGCUGGAGCAAGUCGCUUAAGGAAAGAGUUACGAAGAUUGUAUUUUGUUUUGUUUUUUUCCUUGAAGGCUUUGUGUACACUGUGUUGUCACACGCGGGAGUUGUUUACAAUAAUCCUCGUCCCGAGGUCAGCCCAGGCCAUGUCGUUAGCUAAUGAUAAGCUUGCCUCUUGUGAUCUGCUUGACAGCCUCGUUGCCAUCUGACACAAGCCGGCAACCUGGCACCUACACGAGGAGCACCUUGCUUGAUGUCACCUGAGUGUUGGCGACCAGAGUGACCUGUGCUCACGUGGGACACAGCAGGACUGAGGGUAGCAGUCUGCAGUCUGAGAGUAGUCCUCCUUCUGUUCAUCAAGGAACGGAGCGGAAUAUGAGAGUCUACAAAAGCCCUUUAAAGCCACUUCUUAGACAGACAGACAGACAGACAGACAGACAGACAGACAGACAGACAGACAGACAGACUUGUGUUUGCUUGCGUUUGGAUUUCACUGGGCUCUGGAAUGUCCUCCUGGCAGAUGUUUCAGUUUGCAGGCACCUGGUGUCUUCCAGUGCUUCCACAAGCCGAUGUCGAUGUCCUGCGAGCUGCUGGCGUCCAGAUCGAAGCCCAGUGUUGCUCUCCCAGUGUUUUGUGCUUCCUGUGGCAGUUAAUCCGUUGCAGUCGUUUGAGCCAAGAAAGGGACAACACAAAUGUUGAUCAAAUUAACGUGUGGACAGGAAAUAGUCCGUCUAAGCAAGCAAGAGUUCGAUCUCCAGAAAAAAUUGUUGGAGGAAGCCAUCUCAGCCCUCAAUCUGCAGUUGUGUUUGACAAGCUUCAGUGAGGAGGUGUGUAGCCACGUGAGGUGUGUGAGGAGGUGUGUGACCAGCCAAGCCCCCAGGUUAACGGCUACAGGCGCAACUUUCACACACAAACACCACAAACAACACCGAGAUGUCAUCGCUGCAUGUUGUGGUGCUCAUUCUGUGACCAUUGCCCAGCAGAACUCUCUCGGACGGAGAUAUCUCAGUUAAUAAACCCAUGAGGAGAACACCUGUCCUUGUCCUCUGAAAGUGCUUCUUGGCUGAGAUCAGUUCUCCACGACACCACUCGGCUUUUUUCACUUGUGUGUGUGUUGGGAAGAUCAGUCGUCCAAGCAGUCGAUGGUGGUUCCCUGCGGGUUUUUGGUGCAAACUUUCUCGAGACAUUCAUCAGCUGCAGGGAAAUAUAAAAUUCUUCAUUCACCUAGUCCUUCAGCUUCAACUGAUUACAAGCUGAAGUUUCAGCAAGUCAGGUGAUACACAAUCGGAGGUGAGUGAAAGUGUGUACGUGGAUACCAGGGUACGUUAGGUCCACUAAUAUCAAACAGUAGACAGGCUGCUGCUGUGGUCUACACUGCUUACCACUAAUAUCAAACAACAGGAGACCACUAAUAUCAAACAGUAGACAGGCUGCUACUGUAGUCUACACUGUGUACUGCUACAUAGUGUGAUCUUGGUGUGCUACAUCACUUAGUGUGCUACUGUGGCAUAAGGAAUGCGAGUAUUUCCCACGUACCUCCCACUGCUGGAAUCCAUCUCUCAGUAAGUUUUGAUUUUGUCCAUCUGAAUGUUUGCAUUAUUUCGAUGAAUAAAAGGAAAACAACAUCUUUCCUAGUGAUCUCUCGACUGCACUGCAUUCUGUGUCGACAAUUUUGUUUCUGGUGUGCAAUCUCUGAAUCAAAUGGGCUACAUACCUACUUCUUCUCAGUGAUGCCUUCUUCGCUUAAUGGAUUACAGUCCGCACCUCACAGGAUGUGCACUGGAUUUAAUGGAUAGCAUGAUGGAUCAGCUGCGUUGUGUGUUUUUAAAGCCCAUGGAUCGCUGUGAAGCACUGGAGAACACUGGUUGCCUGGGGUUUUGUCGGAACAUCGAACUGAACUCGUCUGGUGCACACUGUGCAGUCCAUGGAUUACGAAACAAAUUGGAUGGACUGCACUUCUUUCCACCCUGAUGUGCAGCUGGAAUUGAGUGCUCGAAGGAUUAAAAGAUUACCUCGCGGGUGAGGUCACCCGUGACCAGAACACUGAGUGUUUGAGGUGGACACGGGGAUAUGAUCACCCCUGGGCCCUGGCCUCGUGUAGAUCACACCGAGAGUGCACAGUUCAACUUCCUCUGUGGAUUACACUGCACAGAGCAAAGCCUCCUGAUUCAUGGAUUACACACUGGCAGUGCUACAUCCACUUUUUAUUGGAUUACAUUGGCUUACAGUGAACUAGCGAACGGAGGAUAUUCCAGAAGAUGCAAAGAAAGUGAAGAAAGUUCACAAAUCGAGGCAAUUACACCAGAAACCGUGCCUGCCGUCUCUACAAGGUACAUGCAUCUCUCAACAAGUCCUCGCCAUCAUCGACACGGUGUGAGAGCGAGGUGUCAUGGGUCAUUGCGGAUUAUGCAGCGACUGCUGAUUUCGUCUGCGGAUUUGUAUUGCUAUUAUUAUUACAUUUGUGCUGCACCUGUUCUGUGAUGGAUGCAUGGCAUGAUGUCACGGGAAGAAAUGGCAAGCUUGCUGUCCCUCUUUUUGGGAGGAUUUAAAGAUAUGCCCAGGGGCAGCCAUUCGGCUUGUUUUUUUGAGGGUCUUGUCACUGAUAGGAUCGUGUACCUCACCUGGUCAUCUCAUCCCUGGAACGCCUUACUGAACCCUGAUCCCCGAUCCUUGGUCCUGCUAAGGUGGUCUGAGACGAUCAAGUACAAGAGUUUCCUUUUGUCUCUUUGAGGAUUCUACACGUGUGGUACAACUGUACAAGAAGUGACUUUGGACAGGAGGGAGUGUCGUCGUGCCAGGUUCCUGUCAUCAGCAGGUUCCCCACGACCGACGAGUCACGUGACAGGUUACAGAGAGUUUCCAGGUUCGUCUUCUCUCUUGUGGAAAAGGUUUCGGAUUACCAGUGUAACGGCACACAGACAGCAGGAGACAACGGUCCAGGAAAGAAGAAUGAAGCCAACCGAUGGUGUGAUGAUGGUCAAGCAUGACUUCACCCCACGAAGGAGCAUCACACGCGCGGUGCAGUCACGUGACUGUCAUCUCAGUCUUGAAGGACAGGGUCACAGGGUCAGUCGCCAGCAGGACACA
Pomacea canaliculata is the source of this 3994-nucleotide long non-coding RNA. RefSeq lists it as uncharacterized. The record is from RefSeq and is a predicted model, not a curated record. NCBI's taxonomy places the organism in Eukaryota, Metazoa, Mollusca, Gastropoda, Architaenioglossa, Ampullariidae. The transcript is spliced from 4 exons.